Molecule: transfer RNA, 72 nt
Filed under: Camelus ferus (Wild Bactrian camel)
Lineage: Eukaryota; Metazoa; Chordata; Mammalia; Artiodactyla; Camelidae
Rfam family: tRNA
About the family: Transfer RNA (tRNA) molecules are approximately 80 nucleotides in length. Their secondary structure includes four short double-helical elements and three loops (D, anti-codon, and T loops). Further hydrogen bonds mediate the characteristic L-shaped molecular structure. tRNAs have two regions of fundamental functional importance: the anti-codon, which is responsible for specific mRNA codon recognition, and the 3' end, to which the tRNAs corresponding amino acid is attached (by aminoacyl-tRNA synthetases). tRNAs cope with the degeneracy of the genetic code in two manners: having more than one tRNA (with a specific anti-codon) for a particular amino acid; and 'wobble' base-pairing, i.e. permitting non-standard base-pairing at the 3rd anti-codon position.
Source: Rfam by way of RNAcentral
GGGGGCAUAGCUCAGUGGUAGAGUGUGUGCUUAGCAUGCACAAGGUCCUAGGUUCAAUCCCUAGUACCUCUG